CGGACUGAAGGCUCUUUCUCGAUUCCGUGGAAAGUGGUGCAUGGCCGUUUUUGGUUGGUGGAUCGAUCCGUCUGGUUAAUUCCGUUAACGAACGAGACCUCGGCACUCCGAAUAGCGCGGCGGACGUCGCGGCCUCCGGGCCGUCUUCCGCACGAGCUUCUUAGAGGGACCGUCCCCCGCCGGGGGAAGGAGGUGCGAGGCAACGACAGGUCUGUGAUGCCCUUAGAUGUUCUGGGCCGCACGCGCAUUACACUGACGCGUCCAACGGGUGACUCCCGACCCGAAGGGGCCGGGGAAUCCGCAAGGCGCGUCGUGAUGGGGAUUGAACGUUGCAAUUGUUGUUCACGAACGAGGAAUUCCUAGUAGGCGCGGGUCAUCAACCCGCGCCGAUUACGUCCCUGCCCUUUGUACACACC
Molecule: ribosomal RNA, 416 nt
Filed under: uncultured eukaryote
Lineage: Eukaryota
Description: bacterial SSU rRNA
Rfam family: Eukaryotic small subunit ribosomal RNA
Source: RNAcentral